RNAcentral lists this microRNA precursor (84 nucleotides) under Bombyx mori (domestic silkworm). Its description in RNAcentral is "mir-2807 microRNA precursor family". It matches the Rfam family "mir-2807 microRNA precursor family". The record is from Rfam by way of RNAcentral. Lineage: Eukaryota; Metazoa; Arthropoda; Insecta; Lepidoptera; Bombycidae.
UUAAAUCCAAUUUGUAUGUAGUAGGAGCGUUCGCCUACGUUUGCCGCUAGAAGCACUGUUUCAACUGCAUACAAAUCUGCGUUA